UACGUAGGGGCCGAGCGUUGUCCGGAGUUAUUGGGCGUAAAGCGCUCGCAGGUGGUUCGUCGCGUCGUGCGUGAAAGACCCCGGCUCAACUGGGGAGGGUCGUGCGAUACGGGCGAACUGGAGGCCAGUAGGGGGAUGCGGAAUUCCGGGUGUAGUGGUGGAAUGCGUAGAGAUCCGGAGGAACACCAGCGGCGAAGGCGGCAUCCUGGACUGGUCCUGACACUCAGGAGCGAAAGCGUGGGGAGCGAUCCGG
RNAcentral lists this ribosomal RNA (253 nucleotides) under uncultured bacterium. RNAcentral's name for it is "partial 16S ribosomal RNA". It matches the Rfam family "Bacterial small subunit ribosomal RNA", at positions 524 to 776 of the family's 1533-position model. The record is from RNAcentral.